RNAcentral lists this ribosomal RNA (407 nucleotides) under uncultured bacterium. Its description in RNAcentral is "partial 16S ribosomal RNA". It matches the Rfam family "Bacterial small subunit ribosomal RNA", at positions 28 to 526 of the family's 1533-position model. The record is from RNAcentral.
GACGAACGCUGGCGGCGUGCCUAACACAUGCAAGUCGAACGCAGUUGCGCAGGGGUGCGUAACGGGUACGUAACCGCCUGGUAGCUGGGGAUAACGAUAGGAAAUGAUAGCUAAUAUCGAUUAGUAAAGGAUGGACCUGCGUUGUAUUAGCUAGUUGGUGGGGUAACGGCUCACCAAGGCAACGAUACAUAGCCGACCUGAGAGGGAGAUGGGCCACACUGGGACUGGGACACGGCCCAGACCCCUACGGGAAGCAGCAGUAGGGAAUCUUCGGCAAUGGACGGAAGUCUGACCGAGCAACGCCGCGUGAGUGAAGAAGGUUUUCGGAUCGUAAAGCUCUGUUGUAAGAGAAGCGGUAUCUUACCAGAAAGGGACGGCUAACUACGUGCCAGCAGCCGCGGUAAUUC